UUGCACCCUCCACGUAGCUCCUUCGACGAGUCGAGUUGUUUGGGAAUGCAGCUCUAAAUGGGAGGUAAAUUUCUUCUAAAGCUAAAUACCGGCCAGAGACCGAUAGCGCACAAGUAGAGUGAUCGAAAGAUGAAAAGCACUUUGGAAAGAGAGUUAAAAAGCACGUGAAAUUGUUGAAAGGGAAGCGCCCGCAACCAGACUUUGCGGCGGUGUUCGGCUGGUCUUCUGACCGGUUUACUCGCCGCCGUGAGGCCAUCAUCGUCUGGGACCGCUGGAUAAGACCUGAGGAAUGUAGCUCCCUUCGGGGUGUGUUAUAGCCUCUGGUGAUGCAGCGCGUCUCGGGCGAGGUCCGCGCUUCGGCAAGGAUGAUGGCGUAAUGGUUGUCGGCGGCCCGUCUUGAAACACGGACCAAGGAGUCUAACAUCUAUGCGAGUGUUCGGGUGUCAAACCCCUACGCGUAAUGAAAGUGAACGGAGGUGGGAACUUUUUGUGCACCAUCGACCGAUCCUGAUGUCCUCGGAUGGAUUUGAGUAAGAGCAUAGCUGUUGGGACCCGAAAGAUGGUGAACUAUGCCUGAAUAGGGUGAAGCCAGAGGAAACUCUGGUGGAGGCUCGCAGCGGUUCUGACGUGCAAAUCGAU
This 639-nucleotide ribosomal RNA is filed under the name Pseudocercospora perae. RNAcentral's name for it is "eukaryotic LSU rRNA". It matches the Rfam family "Eukaryotic large subunit ribosomal RNA", at positions 235 to 902 of the family's 3401-position model. Lineage: Eukaryota; Fungi; Ascomycota; Dothideomycetes; Mycosphaerellales; Mycosphaerellaceae. The record is from RNAcentral.